AUGGCCUCCUUCUGGACACAUACUCUCUCUGAGCAGGCCUCGCUGGGACAGAGGUCAGAAUGCCGGUGGCCAGACGACAGGAAUGCUCCCAUUGCUAGCAUUGGUGGAGCUGCAGCUAUGGGGUUUUUGGCUGUUGUGCUUACCAAGCCUAGGGACUCCAGUACAGCAGAGCACGAGAUGGUGGUUACUUUGGAAGAGACCAGGACAGCAAUGAACUCUGUGUCUUAGUCCUGAAAACUACAGCCCACACUAUGUGGGCAGGGGAGCAGUUCUGGCCAUGCAUUUUCAAAAGCCAAAGUUCCGCAAAGUUACCGGAGGGGCGCGGACAACAAUUAUUUAACGACAGCAGACGUUAAGAUUCAAAAAAUUAAAGUUUUUCAACCACUAAACACACAAAUUGCCUACACUGC
Mauremys mutica (yellowpond turtle) is the source of this 410-nucleotide long non-coding RNA. RefSeq lists it as uncharacterized. Lineage: Eukaryota; Metazoa; Chordata; Testudines; Geoemydidae. The record is from RefSeq and is a predicted model, not a curated record. The transcript has 4 exons.